This 434-nucleotide long non-coding RNA is filed under the name Hordeum vulgare. RNAcentral describes it as "long non-coding RNA (HVUL_LNC000096)". Lineage: Eukaryota; Viridiplantae; Streptophyta; Magnoliopsida; Poales; Poaceae. The record is from RNAcentral.
CUCACACCGUCAUGUUAAACCGUUCUGUAGGACAUGCAGCCCGCUUAUUAGCAUUUUCACCAUACCUUCUCUCUAGUUCUUCUCUGCUUCCUAAUUUCUCUCACUCUCCCCGACCUAGUAGCAUGGAGGAGCGCCGUCGCCGCCCAUCGCCUUGGCACCCGAGCUCCAAAAAAUGCCGUCUUAAACCCGCCCUCGCCCGGAUCUGGCAAGAACUGAGCCGGUGCCGCCUUCCACACCUCAUAUCCGUGUUCCCCGCUCCAAUCCGAGCCUAGAUCCGGCAAACACCUGGAUGGGCGGCGCCCUUGCCACAAGCUCCGCCCCGACCCUCUCAGCGGUGUAGUGCGCCUCAAAGUCGAGCUCUGCGGCAUCGCCCCCACACAGCACGGCCACCACGACAACAAAGGGGGCUGGCUCGAGGACGAUCUUCUCCGUUG